Molecule: small RNA, 590 nt
Filed under: Vigna angularis var. angularis
Lineage: Eukaryota; Viridiplantae; Streptophyta; Magnoliopsida; Fabales; Fabaceae
Description: Non-protein coding transcript
Source: RNAcentral
UAAUAAUUAGCAUAAAUUAAUUCUGACAUCCUCACCAUUAAUGCACGCCACAUCACUUCUCAAGCCAUUAAAACCCACUCCCAACUCUGAUUUUCACCUCUCUGCUGUGCGCGGAAAGCUGGGCCAAAAUCAUUUCUCUGGAAACAUUAAAAACGCACCAAUCUUUGCAUGCAAGCACGCCACGUGUUGCGGAAGAAGUUUCCAAAUCAGAGUUUAGGUGCAGGUGUCGGCUUGAGACACGUUCAUUCAAACGAACACGAGUUUAACAAAACCAGAUUUUUCUGAAAAACUCUCUCACCUGCAUCACUCAUCUUCUUCCUCACGAAACACACCCAUUCAUUUUCUCCAACUUCUCUCUAGAACUCCCAAGCUUCUCUCUACUAUAACUCCUCAUUUUCUUCUCCAAAUUCCAUUUCAGAACCAUAGGAACGUUUCCAGAGUCGCGGACGUUAGUUUGGACCGAACAGAAUUUGAUUCUAAUCUGAUCAAGUGGUUAGAUUUAGUAGAAGGAACUUAAGUGGCUGUUGCGUAUAAAAGAGUUGUAGUGGAACGUGUGGAAGUUAUAUUUUAGGGCGUACACUGCUAUCCAG